This 253-nucleotide ribosomal RNA is filed under the name uncultured bacterium. RNAcentral's name for it is "partial 16S ribosomal RNA". It matches the Rfam family "Bacterial small subunit ribosomal RNA", at positions 524 to 776 of the family's 1533-position model. The record is from RNAcentral.
UACGGAGGGUGCAAGCGUUAUCCGGAUUCACUGGGUUUAAAGGGUGCGUAGGUGGGCAGGUAAGUCAGUGGUGAAAUCUCCGGGCUUAACCCGGAAACUGCCAUUGAUACUAUCUGUCUUGAAUACCGUGGAGGUGAGCGGAAUAUGUCAUGUAGCGGUGAAAUGCUUAGAUAUGACAUAGAACACCAAUUGCGAAGGCAGCUCACUACGCGAAUAUUGACACUGAGGCACGAAAGCCAGGGGAGCGAACGGG